UGGAGCAGUACUGGCCCUCCAGUUCACAGAGUGAGUGGUGCUACUUUGUUGUUCAUCUGCAGAAAAGAAUUUACAUUUACACUAUUACAUAUGAAAAUGUAAUUCUCAGAGUCUGCUGCCUGUUCCUCCUGUACAGGCAGAGUGUGUAAACCCUGUCCACAGGGCUGGUCACAGUUCUCUUCCAAGUGUUACUACUUCUCUACUGAGAAGAAGAACUGGACGGACAGUCGCAGUGACUGCAUUAAAAGGGGAGCUGUCCUGGUGAUUAUAGAGAGUGAAGAGGAACAGCGGUUUAUCACCAACAUAGAAAAAAUCCAUACCUGGAUUGGACUGAGUCGCUCAGAAUUUAAGAGCAACUGGCUCUGGGUGGAUGGAACCCCUCUGCAGAAAGGAUUCUGGGGGAGUGGAAAGGCAGAGGAUCGAAGGUUUGAUUGUGCCAUGAUUAAGAAGAAUGGAUGGGAGGCUUAUUACUGUUCUAAUAUGGAGAAAUGGAUCUGUGAAACGAAUGCUCUGCUCCCCUAAACCAUUUUUUUCAUUGUAUGUUUUUGGUUAUUUUACCUUGUGAGAGGCAGUUGAACAUGGCAGGUUUGACAGUCAAACACAGGACCAAUAAGCAGACCACAAUGUUGCCUUUAUGUUGGAAAUACAUGAAAUACAUACAUACUGCUAUUUUACCUAGAAAUGUGUCUGUGAGACUAAGCUUUUUUAAAUGCACUGAAAUGACUGUACGUGAUGAGUAUAUUCAAGCUAUCACAUUAUUUGUUCUGGACAUACUGUAAGUUUAAAAAAAUUAAAGAACAUAUAUUUAAAAUGGUCCUCAUUAUGUGGUUGUGAUACUGUACCUUUAUAUUAAAAUUGAGAACAGCUGUCACUUUGCUACUAAA
Long non-coding RNA from Anguilla anguilla (European eel), 884 nucleotides. RefSeq lists it as uncharacterized. The transcript has 3 exons. The record is from RefSeq and is a predicted model, not a curated record. NCBI's taxonomy places the organism in Eukaryota, Metazoa, Chordata, Actinopteri, Anguilliformes, Anguillidae.